Molecule: ribosomal RNA, 478 nt
Filed under: uncultured bacterium
Lineage: Bacteria
Description: partial 16S ribosomal RNA
Rfam family: Bacterial small subunit ribosomal RNA
Source: RNAcentral
GACGAACGCUGGCGGCGUGCUUAACACAUGCAAGUCGAACGGUAAGGCCCUUCGGGGUACACGAGUGGCGAACGGGUGAGUAACACGUGGGUGAUCUGCCCUGCACUUCGGGAUAAGCCUGGGAAACUGGGUCUAAUACCGGAUAGGACUCCUGGCUUCAUGGUUGGGGGUGGAAAGCUUUUGCGGUGGGGGAUGGGCCCGCGGCCUAUCAGCUUGUGGGUGGGGUAAUGGCCUAGCAAGGCGACGACGGGUAGCCGGCCUGAGAGGGUGACCGGUCACACGGGGACUGAGAUACGGCCCAGGCUCCUACGGGAGGCAGCAGUGGGGAAUAUUGCACAAUGGGCGCAAGCCUGAUGCAGCGACGCCGCGUGAGGGAUGACGGCCUUCGGGUUGUAAACCUCUUUCAGCUAUGACGAAGCGCAAGUGACGGUAGUAGCAGAAGAAGGACCGGCCAACUACGUGCCAGCCGCCGCCGUAA